RNAcentral lists this ribosomal RNA (845 nucleotides) under Hypocrella raciborskii. RNAcentral describes it as "partial large subunit ribosomal RNA". It matches the Rfam family "Eukaryotic large subunit ribosomal RNA", at positions 70 to 936 of the family's 3401-position model. The record is from RNAcentral. Lineage: Eukaryota; Fungi; Ascomycota; Sordariomycetes; Hypocreales; Clavicipitaceae.
AGGGAUUGCCCCAGUAACGGCGAGUGAAGCGGCAACAGCUCAAAUUUGAAAUCUGGCCCCCCCCCGGGGGGCCCGAGUUGUAAUUUGCAGAGGAUGCUUUGGGCGAGGCGCCUUCCGAGUUCCCUGGAACGGGACGCCACAGAGGGUGAGAGCCCCGUCUGGUCGGACGCCGAGCCUCUGUAAAGCUCCUUCGACGAGUCGAGUAGUUUGGGAAUGCUGCUCAAAAUGGGAGGUAUAUGUCUUCUAAAGCUAAAUACCGGCCAGAGACCGAUAGCGCACAAGUAGAGUGAUCGAAAGAUGAAAAGCACCUUGAAAAGGGGGUUAAACAGUACGUGAAAUUGUUGAAAGGGAAGCGCUCGUGACCAGACUUGGGGCGGGCGGAUCAGCCGGCGUUCUCGCCGGCGCACUCCGCCCGUCCCAGGCCAGCAUCAGUUCGCGCCGGGGGACAAAGGCGGCGGGAACGUGGCUCCCCAGGGAGUGUUAUAGCCCGCCGCGCCAUGCCCCGGGGGCGGACUGAGGGCCGCGCAUCACUGCAAGGAUGCUGGCGUAAUGGUCACCAGCGACCCGUCUUGAAACACGGGCCAAGGAGUCGUCCUCGUAUGCGAGUGUUCGGGUGUCAAACCCCUACGCGGAAUGAAAGUGAACGUGGGUGAGAGCUUCGGCGCAUCAUCGACCGAUCCUGAUGUUCUCGGAUGGAUUUGAGUAGGAGCAUACGGGGCCGGACCCGAAAGAAGGUGAACUAUGCCUGUGUAGGGUGAAGCCAGAGGAAACUCUGGUGGAGGCUCGCAGCGGUUCUGACGUGCAAAUCGAUCGUCAAACAUGGGCAUGGGGGCGAAAGACUAAUC